Molecule: ribosomal RNA, 253 nt
Filed under: uncultured bacterium
Lineage: Bacteria
Description: partial 16S ribosomal RNA
Rfam family: Bacterial small subunit ribosomal RNA
Source: RNAcentral
UACGGAGGGUGCAAACGUUGCUCGGAAUCAUUGGGCGUAAAGCGCACGUAGGCGGCCCAGCAAGUCGGGUGUGAAAGCCCUCGGCUUAACCGAGGAAGUGCAUUCGAAACUACUGAGCUUGAAUACUGGAGAGGAUCGCGGAAUUCCCGGUGUAGAGGUGAAAUUCGUAGAUAUCGGGAGGAACACCAGUGGCGAAGGCGGCGAUCUGGCCCGUAAUUGACGCUGAGGCGCGAAAGCGUGGGGAGCAAACAGG